Molecule: non-coding RNA, 10865 nt
Organism: Microcebus murinus (gray mouse lemur)
Lineage: Eukaryota; Metazoa; Chordata; Mammalia; Primates; Cheirogaleidae
Source: RefSeq, a predicted model, not a curated record
UGUAGGGUAGCCAAGGAUUCCCCCUUAGACCAAGAACAUCUGUCCUUAGAGAAACAGAAAAGGUGGCCCCAGGACUCCCUAACUGAAAUCAUUUUCCUCAGGUAGAAUUGGGGGCGUCCCUGUAACCUCAGGCUUAGCUUUUCUCCUUUCUUGAUCGUGCCUGAUCGUUGCUGUGAAUGCCAGAAACAGGCAACGUAAAUCCAUCUGAUCCUACCUGAAUGCAGAGAAAUUAAUAGAAUUUGAAAAACAUAAAAGUGAGAUCCUGAAGAAUUUGUUAGCGUGAGUACUUAAAAGCUAUAGUAAGAAAGGUAAAAAGAAAAGUUUUACUAGAGCUUAUACAUUUACUAGGUGAAAGUGGUUUAGUAAAUAUUUUGAGACUUACACUAUUCAUUAAAAUGAAUCACAGAUGCUUACUGUGUAGCAUUGAGAAAAGGAGAGUAAAGAAUCUAAUGAGAUCGCAUGGAUAAAGUGACUUUAAGAAGUUCAAAGCAUUCUCCAAAUGAUAUUAGAAUUUAGGAAAACAUAAGAUGACCCAUGAAUGGCUUAAAAAAAGAAGAGAUGUAUAGCGGAAGAAAAUUAGCAGUUUAAAUAUUCAUAAAUCUGAAUUAGAACUAACUUCUAGUUUGUAUUUAUUACAUAAAUUAUGGUUUUCACCAGUCAUUUUGGGCAUUCACGUAUUAUCUGUUGCAUCCAGAAGAUGGAUAAGACCUUGAAACAGUCCUCCCUAAGCCUCUUGUCUUUUUGUUAGGAGCAUUUAGUUUUGAUUUUUUAAUUAAAAUAACAAUAACAACAAUUAGUUUUAGUUCACUGGUAGAGAGAUGCAAGCUCACCUAAGUUCCUUCACUUCCUGUUCUAGAGCAAGGACCAGCUGGAAUGUGAGAGAGAGAUUUCCCUGGUAGCCCUAAACUCCAGAUACACACACAGCAGUGCCUCUUUCCCAGGGUGUCUCCGAUUUUUUUCUGUGGGCCACCUCCCUCCUCAAGCUUGCCAAUACCAAUAUUAAAUUUCUAUCAUGUGGAAAUGUCCGAAAAUAAAAAUAUAAGCAACUUGUUUUUUUUAAUAAAUUAGAAAGUCCUCGUGCCACAGUUGGGAGCAAUUGCAAAUGCCUGCUUAAAUCUGCACAGAAACGUGAGGAUUCUAACCUUCCUCAGGUAGGUUCUUUACUUGAGGCUGUUACUAGGUUUCAUGAGGCCUGUGAAGCCCUAGGAUUGCCUGCAAAAUUUUUCUUUAUGCAUUUUUUAGGGAAGGUUAAUAAUAGCUUGCAUCAGAUACUGGAAGGUAGUUAUGAUCCAGAGAAUGUUAACAGUGACUGUAAAGAGUAAAAUUUGAAGCUCUAAACUAGAAUCAAAAACUGUGAGGACCCCAGAGCCCCUCCAGCCAGACCCGCCCUCCUGCAGGUGAGAAAAGGCAGCCAACCAAGCAGAGCUGCACAACUACGAUUUAGUAAAACAACAGCCAGUGAAAAUUGGUCAGUGAAACUCCAGACUCUUGCUUCCUAAUCGAGGACCUCUUCCACUCCAUGUGAUACCAAUCUUUCCUUUGGCUGUGGUAUAAAAGCCAAAUUUUGUUUUAUGUCCCUUAAAAUAAUUUUUUCUGUGAUGUAGAAACCUAAUUAUGAGAAUUACAUGUUUUUCAAAGAACAUAAAACAUUUUGUAAUUACAGCCUUAGGCAUCUGUUGGUAUGAAUAAAUGUUAAAUGACUUUCAUUUAUAGAUUAAAAAAUUUGUUUUUCUAAAAAAAAAAAAAACAGCUCUAGUGGUAGAUAGUAAGCCUUGAAUUCUUGUUAGGUUUCCUUCCUGAAAAUGACAGAUUGUGUACAUGUCACAUGACAUGGUGUGCCUAAUUUUCAAGGAGCUUUGUUGUAUCUAUUUCAUUGUAAGUGCAUGUUAAGCGUCUCGAUAAUUAAUAUUUAAUUUACACAAAUAAAUCCAUUGUCCCUUACAGUAAAUAUGAGUUAGUGGAUGCUCUUUUAUAAUAUUUAUGAAAAUCUCAAACCAAGAUCAUACCAUGCCAUCUAUUACCAAAAAAAAGUUUCUACUUAAUGUUUGAUUAUAUUAAAUUUUCUAAUACUUCCAAAUAAUUAACGAAAAUGCUAAGCAAGUCAUGUUGUUCAUUUAAGUAGCAGCUUUGUACUUGCUCAACAGCAAAAACACUACAUCUGAAAAAAUGUCGACUGCUCUCAGAAUCAUCAAACUAAGGCAUUUAAUAUUUUCAGCAAGCCACCUAAAUUGGUUACUCCUUUUAGAGGAGAGUACAGGACAAAAAAAUGGAAAAGAUAUUCUAAUAGUAAGUUAUCCUAAAAUGUUUAAGCCACUAAUGUUCUAUGAUUUAAAACAAAUAAAAUAUGGUUAGCUUGUAGCCAAGGGAAAAAAAAAAUUCCUGGGCAUGAAUCAUUGCUUACAUUCUUUUCCAUCCACAAACAAUUUCAUUUGGGAAAGUUGCCACAUAGUAUCGACAGUGACAACAAAUGGCAUUGUCCCGUGAACAUCUGUUUCCGACUCCCACACUGAUACUGCAGGCUGGGCACUUAGGAGUUAGUUGGUCUUCACAAGUUGCUGAGCUACAAAGGAACUGGAAAUCACUGGUACGUUGAGGUUUUAUUAUUGGAACACAGGAAAACUUUAUCAUCAUGCUGGGAAGUUCUGUAUCUUUUGAAAUAUUGGAACCGGGGUUAUGUUAGCACAUUAAGCCAUGCGGAAGACUACUUCUGAAGAAAGGGGAGGAAAAAAAAUUGUUUCUUGUCUAUUAUGUCCUUGGGUUGAGGUUCCCACUCAAUCUUCAUAUAACUUCCUUACCCACCCUCAGCUGAAAACUAUUUUGUUUUUUAAAAAAUGCUCUGGCGUUCAGCUUCUUCUUAAAAUUGAGAGAACAGAAUACCAAAGGAAUCCUAAGCUAAACACGAUAAAUAAACACUAUUGUUUCUUAACAAAAAAACCAAAUGAAACCAGAAGAGCUUUUAUAUACACUUUUUAUUUUUUCUAAGUUCACACUACCCUGCUUAUGUUUUCUGAAAACCUGGCAACGUAAGGCUCAUAAUGACUUCGGACUAGAAUCUCCUGACCUCAGCUCACAGUGGCAAAAGAAGGGCAAAGAGCUGCUGGGGAAAAGCCAGCAAGAGUGGGAUAAGGGGGGAGGUGGUGAGCAGACAGACAGGGACCCUGCCUUCGCUGCUGAACCUGCGCUUCGGGGCUAACGUGUAUGCUGGUCUAUCAAUAACCAUGCAAGAGCACAGGACAGAUACCCACCCUGCUCUACACCUUUUCUCGGUGUGGCAUUUAGUUGUAGCAAAAGCAGUAAUGGAAGUGAAAGCUAUUCACAAUGAUACUUCUAAAUCAAUGUAUAUUCACACUAUUUACAUGCUCCAAAUGAAUUUGCAUAUUGCUGCAGCUAAGAGGCUUCCCUCUUUUGGGGGGUUAAAAAUAGGAAAUGUUGAGUGGAAUAUGCAACCAACGUCUGACUUGCGUAAGAUUUUUUAAAUCUUUCCUUCCAAAUCGACAUAUUAGAGCAUGUUCCAGAAGACAUUGUUUACCUCGUUUGGCAUUGCACAAAAUAGGCACUGGCGCUCAAAAAUAUAUUUGUUAAAUAGAUCACUAAAUGAAAUAAUCACAGAGCUGUCUGGUUAAAGAUAGGACAAUAAUAGAUUCCUACUGGAGAGAAAUGAUUCUAGUACUUAUUUUGCCUAGAAUAUAUUUCACCAGAAUACACAUAUAGCUUAUGUUUUAAAAAAUAAUCUAAUUAUUAUUAAAUACCACUUCUUCAUAAUUUCACAUGCUGAAAACCACUACAACUGUAACUAUAAAAUAAUCAUUCAGACUAUCCUUACUACUUAUGAGAAAAUAUAUCUGCAUUUGGAGUUUUUCCUUCAUUCAAUUCCAGUCCAUACUGAUUUUUUUUAAAAAGGCCAAAGUACUUGAUUGUAUCUUAUACUCAAUUCUCAAAUAAUUGCACUUAUUUCAAUGGUAGACUGUCAUACAAAGAAAAGGAAAAUAAUAGCACAUGUAUAAUUAGUCAUCAAAACAAACAUUUUAAUAAACAGGCAAUCAAAAAUUAGACAUAGACCUGUAAUAUUCAUGCAUAUGAAUCCUUUUAUCACAAAAAAAAGAAAAAAUUGGAAUUUUAUGUUAGAUAGGACAAUAAUAGCCUAUGUUUACAUGUGCUUUUGUGUUUUUCAAUAUACUGUUGCCAUGUCACUGGCUCCUCACAAGGCCCUUGGAGGACAGGUAAGGACAGCCAUUCGCAUCCAACUCAAUCCUGAAGAUUGAGUUAAUUCAAAUGGUGCUACACCUGCAGUUUUCCCUGCUACCCUCUCCACAGACAGAGCAGUUCUGUUCUCUGUUCUAACAGGUCUCCUCUCUACUACACACCCUUUGUAAAUUCUAAUUGCGUGUUUACAAGUGUCUCCCCCAGCUGUGCCUGGCUAGUAAGAAAGGACUAAGUAUUUUAAUUGAUCUUGUAUCCCUAACUGCUUUGCACUGUGCCUGGUAUAUUGGGGGGCUCCAUUUAUGUUUGCUGCAUUAAUUAAUCAGAAAACUGUGGCUCAGAGAGGAUAUGCGUGUGCGUGUGCACGCGUGUGCGUGUGCAUACACAGGUGUGUACCCUCCAUAUCUGUGAAUUCUGCAUCUUCUGUAUCCAUGGAUUCAACCAUGGAUUGAAAGUAUUCGGGAAAAACAGUUGCAUCUGUACUGAACAUGUGCAGACUUUUUCCCCUUGUCAUUAUUCCUUAAACAAUGCAGUGCAAUAACUAUUUACAUAGCACUUACAUUAUGUUAGGUAUUAUAGGUAAUCUAAAGAAGAUUAAAAGUAUAUGAGAGGAUGUACAUAAGUUAUAUUGCAAACACUAAGCCGUUUUUGUAUCAGAGACUUGAGCAUCCUUGGAUUUUUGGUGCCUGCAGGGGGUCCUGGAACCAAUGCCCAUGGAUACCAAGGGAUCACUGUACACAUAUACACUUACAUGUAUGUAUAUAAACGCUUUGACCCAAUGCCAUAAAGCUCGUUAGUGGUCCAGGCGAAACAGAAUUGACUCUUGGUCCAAGGCUGUCCAUUAUGUACUACUUCUUCCAACUUAAUUGGCAUUAACUGAUCUUUUAUAGCUGCAAUCUGAUAAUAACCAAAUAAGUUAACAAAAAGGCAAGCAAUCAGUGCUGAUUUUAGUAAGGAAGUAAAGAUAAAAUUCUUCAUCACACCUUGUCUCACCCAGAGGAAACAUCAGCCUGCCAAUUUUACAAACAUGCCAGUAAAAGAAUUUCCUUGGCAAACUGACAGCAUGGAAAUGUCCUUUUUAAAACUCAAUUAACCCCCUAAAUUCAUGAGCUUGCUAGAAACAUCUCUUAUGCCAUGGAAUACAAGGCUCAGGGAGAUGCUCUUCCCCUUUCUAUUUCUGGACAUCUUCUUUUGUUCAUGCUCGCUAAUAAUAGUGGCAGAGCUAGGGUUGGCUAUUUAUAGACCUGAAAGCAGCAUGACUCUGUGAACACUUUAUUCAUUUAUAUUUCCUGUGUUUAUUGUUACCUUACCUUUUUAGUAAUUAAAAGUGUUCAUCCAAGAUUUUAUUUAGUAACAAAUCAGUUGUAAAUAGCUUUUCUUUUAAUAUAUGAAAGCCUAUAUAUAGACUCAAUAAAAUAUUUUACUCCCAUUUCCUUAUUAACUAAAAACAGAUUUCAAUGGGGGGGAGGGGGGGAGAACAGUAAACAGCUGUGUUUUCUUUCCAAAUUUUAUAUAAAAUCCAAUUAUUUGACCUUCAGGUGUUUUGAUUAAAAGAGUCUCACUUUAUGUGGUAACUCACUCAAAUGUAGAUAUUGAAGCAAAAUUACUACUAUAGCCAACAUACUUAUAUUUAUUAAUCAGACUAUAACUUUAAAAUAUAUCUGAUUGUUAUAUAAUAUGGUUAGAAAAUAUAAUGUUAAAAAAUGCAUCCUCUGCUCCAUAAAAAAUUGCUAGCUAGAAUACAGGGUCUCUAAAAACAGUCCCACUAGGACUUCCAUUUGAAACCAAUGGGUGCUCUGCUCUAAGCAGCACUCAAAACCAGAAAGCUCAGCUUUGCCAGUUACUUCUGCUAUUCCCUUACCUUGAUUUUUGAUAAGCGAGUUAGACCCAAUCCCUUUAUAAGCAGCUCCUAGUGAAGACAGUCACAUCAAACAUCAAUCCAUUUCUAUACCACAUCUAAGACAUCAAAAAUGCACAUUCUGUCAGCCUCAGCCAGCAUUCCAUAUCUGCCGUGCCAUUCAUUACGUAAUACAGACUGUUCACAUCACAAAGUGAAACUCAAGAGAGUUCGUAUGCACCUAUUUUAAAACAGACCAAUUUUUAAGACCCUCAGCACACAGUAUCUGCUACAUAACACGAUGGGCUCUGUCUCCGAGAGGGGAAGUGCCUGGUAACACAGGUGGUGUCCGGGUCUGCUUUUCCUCACAGCCUCAAAACCCGCUAGCACAGAGACAAUUAGGGUUUUAAUCUACUAUAGUCUAUUUAGGAAAAUAAUCAGCAGUUAAUUAGAGCAUUCAAUCUCAAAAGCUCUCUUUCAAUAAAAGCAUUUUUUACUCCUUUGCUCGAAAACUGAUCAAACUAAGAGAUUCAGCAAAAGUGGGAGCAAUUAUGUAAACAUUUAUUCACCAAUACUCAAUAAGGGAUGAUUUAGCUACUGGAUUUACCCUGUGCUCAAAUGCAAUGGAACAAUAGAUUUUAGGUGCUGUUAAGUGCCAUUUUGAUGUGUUUUUGUCUAAGGUUUUGUUUUGUUAAAGUUAACGCUAAAUACUUCUUAGCUCAGAAACCAUUGUGAGGCAUUACAUCUGUGCAGCAGAGUGCAUUCAGAUCUAAGCUAAUUAUUGAUAUUUUAGGGGAUUUCCCCCCCUAUCUGCUGAAGUGAAAUCAGAUAGGGUUCAAAGCUGUGGAAAAAUAUACAGCAAAAACACAUGAAAUAAUAUUCUGUGGAUAUUAACUCCUCUCUCUGAUAACUGUUUUGUCUGGCACAUUUGAUUUAUAAAUCAAAGAACAUUAAUCAAAAUAGUUCUACAAAUGAUUUGACUUAGCUUGAAUUCCCAACUAGUGAGCCAUCUGAGUAAAUAAUUCCUAAUCAACUGCUCAAGAAAGAUCAUCUCACAAAAAGACAUAUCUGGAAACAUAGUUUUGUUUUCAUUUCAAAAGAUAAACUCAUUUUCACUCUCUCUUACAAAGAAUGCCAACACAUUUCUAUUAUUCCCCACAGAUUCUUCCAGAAUCCUCUCAUUUACUGGAGAACCUGAGCACACAGGCGGUCGCUGUGCUACGUGUCAUAACUGCUCGUGUACAAACACAGCCAGACAUGAAAUGCCUUAGCAGAACUGCAAGUCAGACACGAAUUUACCUGAAACUAAUGAGCUGGAGCUUCGAAAACCCUCACCUGCACAAGCACUUCCAAGGCUCUUCGAGGGGCUCAAGCGAAGCUGAACUCUCAGUUGGAUCUUUCCAAACACGUGACUGAAAUGGAGUUAUGUCUUUGAGAUUGCAACACUUCAUUGAUAAAACCAUAAAAGUAAUUCUCAAUGGUCAAAUAAAACUCCUUCCAUGACAUUCAUAACCACAAAUACCAACACGUGAGCGUAAAAUAUUAAUGUUUUCAAAGCAUGUCAUUCCUCACAAAAGUGAACCAGGACCAUUGUUUUUACUGCAAAUAUCUGGUGUGAUUUGAACUUAGUGUCAACAGCAAUAUUAUUGUGUGCAAAGCACCUUCUCGCCACUUAAUUUAGGUGCCAAACAGAUCCAUAAGUUUUUUUCCUCCAAAGCUGGAGCAAGAAUCAAUUAGAGUCUGUAAUAAUGUGUUAACUAGCUAAUACCACAGUUAACAUUAAGGGGCAUUUCAAGCCUCAGAGUUUUCAGCAGUAGUUAGAGCUUUUCUUUCAUUAAAUCCGUAAGAUCUAUAAUUGAAAGAACACUCUGAGAGAUGCCUUUCAUCAGCUCCACGAGUUACAUUUCCUGCUUUGAUAACUGUACAAGGAAAAUCUAAGGCACUUCAAGCCACCCAAUUACGUUUGAUUAGCUAGUCAAAAUAACGUAACAGCUUUUCAUCACCCAAAGGAAAACUUUUGAAGAAUUCUGCUGCCAACAUUUCUUCGCAAACACUCAUCUAUAUCAUUAUUUUAUAAGGGGAAAUGUAAUAUUUAGUUAAGUUUUUUAAAAAAUUAGGCACUAAUUAAAGCCUCUUAUUCAUCACAACUUCAGAUCAAAAAGGCCCGACUGCGACGACAUUAUGUGGGUAGUAGAACAGCAUUUGUAGCCAUCUCAGAGUCGACAGGAUACAGGAUACAGUGGUCACAAUGAAACAGGCGGCCUUAAACUGAGCCGACCGUUCAGAGAACACGUCUGAAAACAGGAUAUGUGCUGAAAGCUCUAUGAUAGAGACACAGAUUUGGCAGGGAAAAAUUAUUUGCAACCCCAAAUCUUUGCAUGUCACUAUUUUUCUAGCAAAUGAAUGUUGAGUGUGCCUGUCUAAAAAUCAGGAGCACUAAUUAGGAAGUCAUCUAAAACAUCAUUCUAAGAAUUUUCAGGUUAUUGAGAAUAUGUACUGAGUGUGGUUUAAAAGUAAAGCCAAGAUGCAUAGGUAUUGCCCUCACCACUGAGGAGUUUGUGUCCCGCCUUGAAGUUUUGAGCACAUCAGUUCAACAUGUAUCCAGUGUCUACGAUGUUUCAUUCCCAUAAAAAUAUGUUUUUAAUUUAAAUGAAAUAAUUAUACUGCUCUCUCAGGUAAGUCAUGUUGUAAACAGGGCAUUUAGAAAUGUGAUAGUCAAUUCAUAGGAGGUGGCCCUGCUGUGGACUUCACAAACCAACAGUCCUGAACUACUGAUGAAAGACCAGUUACAUCCAUGCUCCCAAAAUGAAAGACAGAGACCAGGACUUUAAAGGCACCAGUCUGAGAUUGCAUUCCACCUUUGCUAUGCUCUUAUUGCACAAUAACGGACAGACUUUAGACCUAUUGGCCAAUUAUUCCAUCUGUCAUGUAAAGAAAAGGCAUUCUUAUGGAAUUAGAAGUUGGAUCAAGUUUGGUUGUAACAUUAAUCCCCACUGUUGUGCAAUCUGAGUGGCGUUUCCAGACACACAAGAUAAUGUGGUUUUCUUUUAGCUGUUGUAGAGAAAUGGUCAGCAGCAGCGCUCCAUAAGCCCUGUGUACGUCACACUUAAUCUUUCUCCUCUAAGUUUCUGGCUGUUCCCUCACAGUACAGCACAAGCAAAGAAUUCACAGAAUUGGUCCUCCUCAGUCAAAAACAUAGCAUUUGAAAAUUAUUUCCAAGCAGCAAAUUACAAGUGAGGAAAACACUGGUGACCAUUAGUGGCACUGUGUGGAGAUGUGGCUUAUGAGAUUUAAGUAGAACUUCCUUGCUGUGCACAAAAACCCUCACAACUACUUGAAAACAAGAGAAUUUCAGAGUUGACUUUGUAUGAGCAGGUGGGAUUCGUACCUACUCAACUUGCUACGUCCACCCUCAGUAUUCUUUCUCGCCCUUCCUAACCCACUGAAGCUGAACUGCCAUCUCCAACAGAAAAUGCCUGCAUGGAAGUCACCUUGUAGGGUGGAAGGAACAGAUAGAAGUUCUAUCGACUAUCACUAAAUACAGCCCAUCUCUGGGGUCUGUCAGUCCUCUGUUCCCCCUGCCUUCUCCACUCAUCCUCAGACCUGCGGACUCUGAGUCUUCCUUGCUCAAGCACAUCCCAUCUGAAGGGUGGAUGCAGAUCUAGCUGAGGACAGGGGUAGCAACCAUUUGGUUCCUGAAACCACACUGCUAUAGAAGGUAGUACCCAAGGGUGUCCCUGGGAUCCUGGGGCAUAAGAUGGGAAGGGAAAAAAAGUAAAUUGAGUCAGAAGAGAGAGAAAGUAAAUUGGGUCAGGACAAGGAGAAAGGGAAGAAAGUGGAAUAAAUAAAAAGAAAAUGAUGCAGAAGAUUAGAAUUUCUCCAAGAGAGUCGGCCAGGGCCCCCGUGCCGUUGGCUGCCCGAGCACUCGCUCAUCCAGGAGAGUACGGGAGUGCAGAGGGGAAUUAGGUUUAAGUAUCAGACAUUCAUGAAAUACCCAGCUGCCUGCCGGAAGAGGUGCUGUAGGUGUCGUUUAUGUUAUUCUUGACGGUGGGUGGUAUUCUUGGGUUAGAGAUUAAUGUCUUUAACGUGAAGACUGGUUUAAGUGCCCAAUUUCCAUGCAGCCAUUCUGCAAAUGGAUGUGGAGCUUUCAAAGAUUUGUAUGAUCUACUUCCCAAGCUGUAGAAGAGUCAGUCAGAGCAAAAAGUCAUUCUUUACUUAUCCUGCAAAAUAGAAAAAUCUAUUUUACCUCAGAGGUUCAGAGGGCAAAGUCCUUCAGAAGUAUGUUAAGGGGUGUCACAGAAGAGUCAUGUUUUUUGGUUUUUUUUUAACCCGUUGCCUGACUUUGUAUGACAGUAUACAGACAGGGAACCGGGGGCUCAGACUCAGCGAGUUCUACCUCCCCCAAACCGAGGGACUAACUCUGGCAGGACUUCCACACGGUCUGUGAGCAAUUUGUGUGCCCUGCUGGCCAAGUGCAAGUAUUAGAGUAAGCAGGGACCCUAAUUAUUCUCAGAAACCAGGCUUGUAACUACUUCCAAGCUGACAAAACUGCUUCUACUAUUUAUUCAGUAGGAACUGGUGCUGGGCAUUGGGAGGUUGGAAGGGGUGGGGAAAGCCUACCCAGGUAUUCACAGCACACCUGCCUGCCUCAGCCUGAGCCCUCCAGGGAGAGCCGGGCUUGCAAACUGAGGCUUAGGCUGCCCUAAUGGCUAGCCCUGUUCCUGCUCUCAUGAGCACUUGCUGAAAGAUUCUGGACUCAGUUUCCUAUGAUGUCCUCCUCUAAUUAAAAAAACGAUGAAUUGGCCGGGCGCUGUGGCUCACGCCUGUA